CCCUUCAUAGGAAUAAACCAACAUGGCCAAUCUUUCAUGCUGGGUUGCGCAUUUGUGAGGCAGGAGUUGGCAUCGAGCUUUGAUUGGGUCUUUGGAGCAUUCCUAGAGGCUAUGGAUGGCAAACCUCAUGACAACUUCAUCACCGAUCAGGAUGGUGCGAUGAGGCAGUCAAUACAGAGCAUCUUUCCAACCACCGUGCACCGUUGUUGUCGAUGGCACAUCAUGAAAAAGGCUCAGGAAAAGGUUGGUUGGUUGCUGUGCCGGAAUCCAGGACUCUCUGAUGAUUUCAACAAGUGUGUUGACUUCAGCUUCACUAUAGACGAGUUUGAGCAGAAUUGGGCUGGGUUAAUGAUCAAGUAUGAGGCUAUGGCACACACGCACUUUGAGAAGUUGUACGAAUACAGGUCAACUUGGGUGCCGUGCUACUUCAAACACAGGUUCUUUCCCUUCCUCCAGUCUACACAGCGUAGUGAGGGGUUCAACGCCGUCCUCAAAAGAUAUGUGAACCCACACAACUCAAUGUUGAACUUCGUCAAGCAAUAUGAAAAAAUACAGAACCACAUCCUUGCCAAGGAAGGCUGCAAUGAUUACAGGACACAACACCUUGAGAUUGAGUUGUGGUCCAACUUCCCAAUAGAGAAGCAAGCUUACAAAACCUAUACUAGAGACCUUUAC
Molecule: ribosomal RNA, 675 nt
Filed under: Triticum aestivum (bread wheat)
Lineage: Eukaryota; Viridiplantae; Streptophyta; Magnoliopsida; Poales; Poaceae
Description: partial small subunit ribosomal RNA
Source: RNAcentral